This is a long non-coding RNA of Myotis brandtii (Brandt's bat), 495 nucleotides long. RefSeq lists it as uncharacterized. The record is from RefSeq and is a predicted model, not a curated record. The transcript has 3 exons. NCBI's taxonomy places the organism in Eukaryota, Metazoa, Chordata, Mammalia, Chiroptera, Vespertilionidae.
GUAGGUCAUCGGGGCCUCCUGGUCGCUUCCCUGAGUUCGACCAAUCCUGUGCGAGGGCGCCGUGGGCGGGGCAGGCUCGGCGGGAGAGCUGCGUGAGAAAUGUCCCGAGGUAGAAUGAGAGCCUUUCCUCUGCGGCCGAGCGCUGGUGGCGAGAGGGGCAUUCCGUGUUUGGGCUGAAGGCUGCGCUCCCUUCCUGGGGGUGGGUAAGAAGCACAGUGGAACUAGGAGCAGAGCCGGCCUUCGGAUGAAGCUGGAUGCUGAGGACCUGGCAGCCGGGAAUGAACAGAACUUGUAUCUGUGACCACGCCUUUGAGCCGAUAAUCCUGGUACACCAGGACCCACCCUACCUCUGCACUUACAGUAAUAGGAGGAGCGCCGUGCAGCUGGGCCCACUGGUCACUGGAAGGCUCCGGAAGCCAUGAAGCCACUGGGAAGCCACUGAUGCCGUGACCUUCUGCUCCUGGCGCUGGAGUGCAGGCCGCGCCUCUGCUCAGA